Molecule: ribosomal RNA, 253 nt
Filed under: uncultured bacterium
Lineage: Bacteria
Description: partial 16S ribosomal RNA
Rfam family: Bacterial small subunit ribosomal RNA
Source: RNAcentral
UACGAAGGGUGCAAGCGUUACUCGGAAUUACUGGGCGUAAAGCGUGCGUAGGUGGUUCGUUAAGUCUGAUGUGAAAGCCCUGGGCUCAACCUGGGAAUGGCAUUGGAAACUGGCGAUCUAGAGUGCGGUAGAGGGUAGUGGAAUUCCCGGUGUAGCAGUGAAAUGCGUAGAGAUCGGGAGGAACAUCUGUGGCGAAGGCGACUGCCUGGACCAGCACUGACACUGAGGCACGAAGGCCAGGGGAGCAAACGGG